RNAcentral lists this long non-coding RNA (242 nucleotides) under Trifolium pratense (red clover). Its description in RNAcentral is "long non-coding RNA (TPRA_LNC002082)". The record is from RNAcentral. Lineage: Eukaryota; Viridiplantae; Streptophyta; Magnoliopsida; Fabales; Fabaceae.
AGAAUAAAUAAAAUCACGAAAAUGGUUUCAACAGGAAUCGAAGUGAGGAACAGUAUUAGUAUAUCCUAUCAUGUUGCUAACCUAGCUUAAAAUAAGGAUUAAAAUAACAAAGGCUAAGUAGGAUAGGAUAAGUAAUAGGUUUAUUUUAUCCUUUCCAAUUAAUGCACCAAACAAGAGAUUUGAAUAGGAUAGGAUUGUGUUAUCAUAUCCUGUCUAUCUAUCCUGCGCACCAAACGGGCCCU